UACGUAGGGGGCAAGCGUUGUCCGGAUUUAUUGGGCGUAAAGAGCGUGUAGGCGGCCAGAUAGGUCCGUUGUGAAAACUGGAGGCUUAACCUCCAGCUGUCGAUGGAAACCAUCUGGCUAGAGUCCGGAAGAGGAGAGUGGAAUUCCUGGUGUAGCGGUGAAAUGCGUAGAGAUCAGGAAGAACACCGGUGGCGAAAGCGCUCUGCUAGGCCGCAACUGACACUGAGGGACGAAAGCUAGGGGAGCGAAUGGG
This 253-nucleotide ribosomal RNA is filed under the name uncultured bacterium. Its description in RNAcentral is "partial 16S ribosomal RNA". It matches the Rfam family "Bacterial small subunit ribosomal RNA", at positions 524 to 776 of the family's 1533-position model. The record is from RNAcentral.